GCCUUUUAGGUUGCCGGUCAGCUGAAAUACAUUCACGCUCUGGGGGCUGCUUUCCUUCCGAGGAGAGGCGAGUUCCGAUUUGGUAGGUGACCUUUGCCGGUUGCAUGCCUUCGUUGCCCGCUAAGCUUCCCAGUAUGCGUUGUGCAGGACGCCUUUUGGCUUUCGACCUGAGGUCAGGCAAGAACACCCGCUGAACUUAA
RNAcentral lists this unclassified non-coding RNA (200 nucleotides) under soil metagenome. RNAcentral's name for it is "partial contains internal transcribed spacer 2 and large subunit ribosomal RNA". The record is from RNAcentral.